ACAUGCCUACAACAUAGCAUUAAUGCACCAGAUCCCAUUAGAACUCCAUAGUUAAGGGCACUCAAGAUAGAGUAGUGCUGGGAUGGUUGACCACCUGGGAAGUCCUAGUGUUUUACAUGCC
Picea glauca (white spruce) is the source of this 121-nucleotide non-coding RNA. Lineage: Eukaryota; Viridiplantae; Streptophyta; Pinopsida; Pinales; Pinaceae. The record is from Rfam.